This 77-nucleotide transfer RNA is filed under the name Orenia metallireducens. Its description in RNAcentral is "tRNA-Met". It matches the Rfam family "tRNA". Rfam says of the family: Transfer RNA (tRNA) molecules are approximately 80 nucleotides in length. Their secondary structure includes four short double-helical elements and three loops (D, anti-codon, and T loops). Lineage: Bacteria; Bacillati; Bacillota; Clostridia; Halanaerobiales; Halobacteroidaceae. The record is from RNAcentral.
GGACCUGUAGCUCAGUUGGUCAGAGCAAUCGGCUCAUAACCGAUUGGUCGGGGGUUCAAAUCCCUCCAGGUCCACCA